This 613-nucleotide ribosomal RNA is filed under the name Escherichia coli. Its description in RNAcentral is "bacterial SSU rRNA". It matches the Rfam family "Bacterial small subunit ribosomal RNA", at positions 76 to 678 of the family's 1533-position model. Lineage: Bacteria; Pseudomonadati; Pseudomonadota; Gammaproteobacteria; Enterobacterales; Enterobacteriaceae. The record is from RNAcentral.
AGGAACACUUGCUGCUUCGCUGACGAGUGGCGGACGGGUGAGUAAUGUCUGGGAAACUGCCUGAUGGAGGGGGAUAACUACUGGAAACGGUAGCUAAUACCGCAUAACGUCGCAAGACCAAAGAGGGGGACCUUCGGGCCUCUUGCCAUCGGAUGUGCCCAGAUGGGAUUAGCUAGUAGGUGGGGUAACGGCUCACCUAGGCGACGAUCCCUAGCUGGUCUGAGAGGAUGACCAGCCACACUGGAACUGAGACACGGUCCAGACUCCUACGGGAGGCAGCAGUGGGGAAUAUUGCACAAUGGGCGCAAGCCUGAUGCACCCAUGCCGCGUGUAUGAAGAAGGCCUUCGGGUUGUAAAGUACUUUCAGCGGGGAGGAAGGGAGUAAAGUUAAUACCUUUGCUCAUUGACGUUACCCGCAGAAGAAGCACCGGCUAACUCCGUGCCAGCAGCCGCGGUAAUACGGAGGGUGCAAGCGUUAAUCGGAAUUACUGGGCGUAAAGCGCACGCAGGCGGUUUGUUAAGUCAGAUGUGAAAUCCCCGGGCUCAACCUGGGAACUGCAUCUGAUACUGGCAAGCUUGAGUCUCGUAGAGGGGGGUAGAAAUCCAUGUGUAG